RNAcentral lists this ribosomal RNA (284 nucleotides) under uncultured bacterium. Its description in RNAcentral is "partial 16S rRNA". It matches the Rfam family "Bacterial small subunit ribosomal RNA", at positions 1218 to 1501 of the family's 1533-position model. The record is from RNAcentral.
ACACGUGCUACAAUGGGGGGUACAAAGAGCAGCCAACUGGCAACAGUGCGCGAAUCUCAAAAAACCUCUCGUAGUCCGGAUCGGAGUCUGCAACUCGACUCCGUGAAGUCGGAAUCGCUAGUAAUCGUGGAUCAGAAUGCCGCGGUGAAUACGUUCCCGGGCCUUGUACACACCGCCCGUCACACCAUGGGAGUGGAUUGCAAAAGAAGUAGGUAGCCUAACCUUCGGGAGGGCGCUUACCACUUUGUGGUUCAUGACUGGGGUGAAGUCGUAACAAGGUAACC